UACGUAGGGGGCAAGCGUUGUCCGGAUUUAUUGGGCGUAAAGAGCGUGUAGGCGGCUAGGUAGGUCCGUUGUGAAAACUCGAGGCUCAACCUCGAGACGCCGAUGGAAACCAUCUGGCUAGAGUACUGGAGAGGAGAUUGGAAUUCACGGUGUAGCAGUGAAAUGCGUAGAUAUCGUGAGGAAGACCAGUGGCGAAGGCGAAUCUCUGGACAGUUACUGACGCUGAGGCACGAAGGCCAGGGGAGCAAACGGG
This 253-nucleotide ribosomal RNA is filed under the name uncultured bacterium. RNAcentral's name for it is "partial 16S ribosomal RNA". It matches the Rfam family "Bacterial small subunit ribosomal RNA", at positions 524 to 776 of the family's 1533-position model. The record is from RNAcentral.